RNAcentral lists this long non-coding RNA (1169 nucleotides) under Trifolium pratense (red clover). RNAcentral describes it as "long non-coding RNA (TPRA_LNC007011)". The record is from RNAcentral. Lineage: Eukaryota; Viridiplantae; Streptophyta; Magnoliopsida; Fabales; Fabaceae.
UUAGAAACACACGAGAUCUAUAAAUACACGGCUAAGCAAUUUGUUCCCCUAAUAAAAAUACAAUCAAACUUGUACUUUCAGACCCAAAAUACAUGCCUUAAUUUGGGCUUAAUGCCCAGCCCAGCCCAUAAAAUAAAUAAAAAAAACCUAACCACUCCUUAGAUGUAACUCAGUUUUCUGACUUUCUCUAAUCCUAGCCGCCGCUCAAACAUCUAUCUCUAUCUCUCGCAUUUUUCUUCUUCCUGAGUCCUAAUGAACCACCACCACCACCUUUCCUCUGUGUUUUCUUCCCUCUAUGUUUCUUUUUGUUUUUAAUUUAUUUGACAAAAUCAAUCUCCUCCAUUUGUAAAAGUGAUGUCCAUCUCCUCCAUUUGUAAAAGAACAACGGCAAAAUCAAAGAUGCAGAAGGGAAAGACAAGGAACAACAGCAACUCAUCUUCUCAAGUUAUCAGUUAUCUUCCUUUCACCAAUUUUUUUUCUUUCUAUGUUAUAUUUCUCCUACCCGCGACAUUUUCUUCUAGAUCUCCAUCACCAUAGACAACCUUCAAAAAAAUCACCAUCAUAUAAAGACUCUCAUUGAUAUUCACUACAAAUCUCACAAAGUAAAAAUCCAGAUCGGACUAAUUUUACCGGUGACCACCGCGCCGGAAAUUGCAUCCACCGUGUGGGAAAAUGAAAUCCUUCUAUUUUGUAAAUAUCUUGUGAGUACAUGGUUGGUAUUUGUCGUAUCAUUUUUUUUUUUGUAAAUAUAUUACUUUUGUCUUCUUUCCUUCUCUCAUGCAUACAACAAUAAUAGAGUUUAGAUUUAGAAACUUAACUUUUCUUGUGGUAGCUGUUAAUUUUUUAGAUUUGUUCUGUUUGUGUUUUUUUAGAUCUAUUUGAAUUUUCAAUUUGUAUAUGAAGAGCACUAUAUGUUUUUAUUCCUUUUUGUUUUGUUUGUAUUUUUUUUUGGAUCUGAUUGUAUUUUUCUAUUUUUUUAUAUGAAGUUGUUGCAAAAUUUAAUGAAAGAAAAUCAAAAGGACAAGAAACUUUGAUUGAUUUUUUUGGAUUUGAUUGUAUUUUUUGUUUUAUCUUUUAAAAAUAUAUAGUUUCAUAUUUUUUAAUUUCUCCAUUUUUCUUUGAUUUCGUCAAGAAAUUUAUUUUUAAAUUAUGAUCUUCUUUAUUCAUCU